This is a long non-coding RNA of Portunus trituberculatus (swimming crab), 573 nucleotides long. RefSeq lists it as uncharacterized. The record is from RefSeq and is a predicted model, not a curated record. The transcript is spliced from 5 exons. Lineage: Eukaryota; Metazoa; Arthropoda; Malacostraca; Decapoda; Portunidae.
CGUCUCUCUGUACCCGGAAUGGACUGUCUGUUCUUUCUCCGUCAUUUUUUUCCUCCAGCAAUGCCUUGUGCUGAAGUUCUGUUGCAGUCCAGAAGUUAAGGACUUGAAGGUGAGGCUCAGGCGUGUAUAUGGAGGCAAUAGAAGGAAGACGAAGGAGAAACAAUGGAGGAGGAUGAAGAAGAAAUGAGAAAUAGAAGCGGAAUAGGAGGUGGAGCCAAGGUGUGAUAUUUAGGUCGAUGUGGCUGCGAUGAGGACAGUGCAGAACGGGCGGAGUUCUUAAACUUUCACCCGCCAGCUGUUCAAGGUCCACGGCGCUGCUGGGUCUUGGUUAUGCUGAUGAUACUGCGAGUCUUCCAUGCGAGUAUUCGAAGUUUAGUGUCGUGGCUGAGCAAGGAGAAUGAAAAGAACAAGAAUGAAACCUGGCCAGACUGCAUCUCCUCACCUCGGACACUGCCCUGAGAGGAUGUGGUGACGGCUGCAGGAGUGGGAGUGACUGGUGUAGAGGACGAUGAUAAGAUGAAGACUUGUCACUUCCCUGUUGGAGUGAUGGGCGAAAUGAAGAAAGCCGCCUCG